RNAcentral lists this ribosomal RNA (374 nucleotides) under uncultured organism. RNAcentral describes it as "partial 16S ribosomal RNA". It matches the Rfam family "Bacterial small subunit ribosomal RNA", at positions 527 to 896 of the family's 1533-position model. The record is from RNAcentral.
GUAGGUGGCAAGCGUUGUCCGGAAUUAUUGGGGCGUAAAGCGCGCGCAGGCGGUUCUUUAAGUCUGAUGUGAAAGCCCACGGGCUCAACCGUGGAGGGUCAUUGGAAACUGGAGAACUUGAGUACAGAAGAGGAAAGCGGAAUUCCACGUGUAGCGGUGAAAUGCGUAGAGAUGUGGAGGAACACCAGUGGCGAAGGCGGCUUCCUGGUCUGUAACUGACGCUGAGGCGCGAAAGCGUGGGGAGCAAACAGGAUUAGAUACCCUGGUAGUCCACGCCGUAAACGAUGAGUGCUAAGUGUUAGGGGGUUUCCGCCCCUUAGUGCUGCAGCUAACGCAUUAAGCACUCCGCCUGGGGAGUACGGCCGCAAAGGCUG